RNAcentral lists this ribosomal RNA (462 nucleotides) under uncultured bacterium. RNAcentral's name for it is "partial 16S ribosomal RNA". It matches the Rfam family "Bacterial small subunit ribosomal RNA", at positions 339 to 795 of the family's 1533-position model. The record is from RNAcentral.
CUACGGGUUGCAGCAGUGGGGAAUCUUGCACAAUGGGCGAAAGCCUGAUGCAGCAACGCCGCGUGAGUGAAGAAGGCUCUUGGGUCGUAAAGCUCUUUCGGCUGGAAAGAAUGGCUUGGUGAGUAACUGCUCCAAGUUUGACGGUACCAGCAGAAGAAGCACUGGCUAAUUCCGUGCCAGCAGCCGCGGUAAUACGGAAGGUGCAAGCAUUGUUCGGAUUGACUGGGCGUAAAGAGCACGUAGGCGGAUUUGUAAGUUGGAUGUGAAAGCCCCGGGCUUAACCUGGGAACUGCAUCCAAAACUGCUUAUCGUGAAUACCUGAGGGGUUGGCGGAAUUCCUGGUGUAGGAGUGAAAUCCGUAGAUAUCAGGAGGAAUACCAGAGGCGAAGGCGGCCAACUGGCAGUGUAUUGACGCUAAGGUGCGAAAGCGUGGGGAGCAAACAGGAUUAGAUCCGGGUAGUC